RNAcentral lists this long non-coding RNA (313 nucleotides) under Solanum tuberosum (potato). RNAcentral describes it as "long non-coding RNA (STUB_LNC003631)". Lineage: Eukaryota; Viridiplantae; Streptophyta; Magnoliopsida; Solanales; Solanaceae. The record is from RNAcentral.
GGAGGUGGAGCUACGGGGAUUGCAGGGGCCACUGAAGGUGGUGCCGGGGCUGGCACUGAUUCGGUAGUUGGAGGAGUUGCAGCUGAUGUAACUCUGAUAGGUGUUUAUUGAGGUCUAUCCCUGAUCCUAUUCUAUCGGUGAAUCAAGGGCUGUUCAUCUUCCGGCUCAGAAUUUUUUUUCUCAAUAGCUGACCUUUUUCUAGCGAUAUGCUUAUUUCGUUUGCCUUUAUCUCCCGGUGGGAGAUCUUGCUUUCUUUUCUGUGAAGGACGUGAUCCUUCUUCAUUGAUCGUAAUUCCCUUUGCCUUUUUCUGAG